GGUCCUGUUACAGGAAAGGGGUCCCCAUCUAAACCCCAAGAGAGGGUUCUUGAAUCUUACACAAAAAAUAAUUCAGGGUGAGUCUGCAGUGCAAAGCAAAAGCAAGUUUAUUAAGAAAGUAAAAGCUACUCCAUAGAGUGGGACGUUCCUGAAAGCAAAAGGUGGAAAGCCCCCAUCCUAGGUAUAAUGCUUGUGUAGGUGGGUAGAUGUGCUCUGCAAAAGAGUUUGUGAUAAAGGAUUAAUUUUCUUAAUUACUAUAUUUUGCAAGAAUCAAUAUUAUCUUUAAAGCAAAAUUAGGAAUGCCUUUGUUCUCCAGAUAUUGGGAUAUCUGGACACUCCCAAGUCUGGAUCUGUUUAGUAAACUUUGUUAAUUUGUUCCCUUAACUGUGAACAUCUAGAGGCUAGGAAUGCCUAGCUUUCUGAGAAUGCAGCCCAGCAAGUCCCAGACUCAUUUUCCUAGCCCUCACUCAAAAUGGAGUCACUCUGGUUUGACUACCUCUGACAGUGCUAAAGCAAAACUUUACUUUUAUGGAAGAGAUAACAUUGAGGAAUAGAGAGAGACAUCAAAUCCGAAAUGCAGAACAUCAAAGACAAAUUAAACAAUUUGAAAGUCACCAAGCUCAAAACACAGAUUUCCCAGGAAAGACUGGCAGUGAAACAGAUGAUAAAGUUGCCACAGCCACCAGUGAUAUGUCCUUGGGUGUCUCAAAAAUAGAAUUCUGUAUCUAUCUGGAAUACAAAGUGUGAGCACAAAAUGAAGGUAUUGUCAGAUGUGCAGAGUGUGAGUUUCUAACCUGUACAACCUUGAUGAAAGGAGCAAGAAUGUAUAUUUCAGAAAGAAGGAAACAACUUGGAAGAGUGGAGUUCAAGAAACGAUGGUGAGCAAAGAAGCUGGGAACACGCUGAUUAAGGUGAGUGGCUAGAUACGGAAAAUAAUGACCAUCACCAAUAUGGAGAGUUUUCUGAAAAUAAAAGGAAAGAAUAAUUUCAGAGUGGAGACCAGUUUCAGGAAAGUUUAUCCAAGCAGCUGGGGAGACCUUGAGCCAUCUGAGGAGUCUGAGAUUUCCUAGGCAUGGGCCUACCUUCAUAUCCCUGCUGGCCUCUGGCUGGAAGAAGCCUGUGAGGGUUGUGGUCUUUCUGUGAAUGUGGUGGUCCACUGAUAGAGAGUGGAUUUCCAAAACACUCCCUUCCCCCAGUCAUACUCCCCAGAGUCAGAGAUCUGAUUGGUGCAGUUUUGUGCUCCCCACAAUGUACUCAACUUGCCAUUUAAAGUCAGAAUUUGUCUGCUAAAAUCCAAUCCAGCACCGUGGCUUAUGCCUGUAAUCCCAUAGCUCUGGGAGGCAGAUGUGGGAGGAUUGCUUGAGGCCAGUCUUUGCAACAUAGCAAGAACCUUUCUCUCAAAAACAAACAAGCAAACAAACAAAACAAAACAGAAAAACAAAAAAACCACAGAAAACAAAAUUAGUCGGUUGUGGUGGCGCACACUAUAGUCCUACUUACCAGACUAUGGGAGGCAGGAGGAUCGCUUGAGCCUAGAAGUUCCAGGUUAUAGUGAGCUAUGAGUGCACCACUGCACUCUAGCUUGGGCAACAGAGUGAGACCCUGACUCUUAAACAGAAAUUGGCUGGGCACUGUGGGAUCAUGCCUGUAAUCCCAGGACUUUGGGAGGCCAAGGUAGGCGGAUCAUUCGAGGUCAGGAGUUCGAGACCAGCCUAGCCAACAUGGUGAAUCCCUGUCUCCACC
Long non-coding RNA from Macaca fascicularis (crab-eating macaque), 1743 nucleotides. NCBI's taxonomy places the organism in Eukaryota, Metazoa, Chordata, Mammalia, Primates, Cercopithecidae. The record is from Ensembl.